RNAcentral lists this long non-coding RNA (549 nucleotides) under Theobroma cacao (cacao). RNAcentral's name for it is "long non-coding RNA (TCAC_LNC000641)". The record is from RNAcentral. Lineage: Eukaryota; Viridiplantae; Streptophyta; Magnoliopsida; Malvales; Malvaceae.
CUAUGCUGCUGUUGUUCCUUCCGCCUCAUUUCCUCCUCAAUGUUGACAUCAUGCAAAGUAGUCUCUUCACAGUCAUCAACCUCCAUGUCUGUCAAGUGUUUACUAGACCUCAUGGGCAAUAUAGUCUCUAACGUACGGCAUUGCUCAGGUGAAAAAACCCCAGAUUCUGGGAAAUCAACAUUGAAAUGGAUGAAUAGCCUGCCCUUCAUGAAAGGUCUUUGAUGAUGGGGCAUACCCUCAUCAUUGAUAGCCUUGUAUUGACCUGCAUUUUCAAGCAGGGGAGAGGAGAUGAGUGAUUGGACGUCAACUUGGAAAAGUAGUUUAAUAAAUAAAUAUGCAAAGGAAAUUACCAGGCUUAAUGACCUCCCCAGGGUUUGAUUUAAUUAGAAGCUGCCUGCCAUCAAGGUGAGUUAGGGCAAACUGAUACCCACACAGAGCCUCUGUCAAACUGAGGUUGUGUUCAACAUAGAGGUCAUCGAAUUUCCGUUCAAAUUUAGGGUGUUUCUUCAGUUGCAAAAGAAAAACAAUGUCUCCAGUAAUUGUAUCUGG